This 682-nucleotide long non-coding RNA is filed under the name Helianthus annuus (common sunflower). RNAcentral describes it as "hypothetical non coding rna". The record is from RNAcentral. Lineage: Eukaryota; Viridiplantae; Streptophyta; Magnoliopsida; Asterales; Asteraceae.
UUGUAUUUUAAUAGACUACCAUACCAUUUCUUUCUUAAAUCCAUAUAAAAUUUGGUAGGAUUAAACAUUGCGGCCUCCAAACGUUGCCUGGAAUUAUUUCGUCGGAGAAUCAGGAUUCGAUGCGGAUGGAAAUGGAAUCAGCCGCUAAGCGGCAGAGAUAGAAAGAGAGAGAGAGAGAGAGAACGAGAUGGUGGAGGCGGUGGGAAGAAGCUGGAGGAUGGCGGUGGCGGUGUGGUGUUGGGAAGAAACUGUGGCCGGUGGUGGAGUCCCGUGUAGAUAAACCGUCUGCCAUCAAUCUGAGGCAUGGUGGCGGCGGUGUGAACAAGCUGAUGAUAGAACGGUGGAUGUGAAAGUGAAGCUGAAGUAGGUGUCCGACAAGCGAAAUACAUAAUACAUCGUCAAGAAUCUGCCUCCCUUUGACCUCCGUGGGUUGCCGCGGCUGGCCGCAAGGGUGUCGCCGGAAAAACCACAGCCACAUUUUGUCAUAGUUAUAACUAGAUGUAGCUUGGUAUAUGUGAAAUUAGUGUUGAUAGUUAAAACUAAAAGAAAACAAAGUGGAGAAACCGAUGGUAUAUACUUCAAUAGAUGCUUCUUUCAUGUGGGUUUAGUGGCUGUGAAUUGUUAUCCCCUUAGUCUGUAAAUAUGCAAACCAAUCAUUUGAAACGAAAAGAAAAGGUUUAUU